RNAcentral lists this ribosomal RNA (459 nucleotides) under uncultured bacterium. Its description in RNAcentral is "partial 16S ribosomal RNA". It matches the Rfam family "Bacterial small subunit ribosomal RNA", at positions 338 to 795 of the family's 1533-position model. The record is from RNAcentral.
CCUACGGGCGGCAGCAGUGAGGAAUAUUGGUCAAUGGGCGCGAGCCUGAACCAGCCAAGUCGCGUGAGGGAAGACGGUCCUAUGGAUUGUAAACCUCUUUUGUCGGGGAGCAAAAGACGCCACGCGUGGCGUUCCGAGAGUACCCGAAGAAAAAGCAUCGGCUAACUCCGUGCCAGCAGCCGCGGUAAUACGGAGGAUGCGAGCGUUAUCCGGAUUUAUUGGGUUUAAAGGGUGCGCAGGCGGAAGAUCAAGUCAGCGGUAAAAUUGAGAGGCUCAACCUCUUCGAGCCGUUGAAACUGGGUGUCUUGAGGGAGCGAGAGGUAUGCGGAAUGCGUGGUGUAGCGGUGAAAUGCAUAGAUAUCACGCAGAACGCCGAUUGCGAAGGCAGCAUACCGGCGCUCAACUGACGCUGAUGCACGAAAGUGUGGGUAUCGAACAGGAUUAGAUACCCCUGUAGUC